Calypte anna (Anna's hummingbird) is the source of this 5878-nucleotide RNA transcript. It is a transcript of the gene named non-SMC condensin I complex subunit D2, with no coding region annotated. The transcript is spliced from 31 exons. NCBI's taxonomy places the organism in Eukaryota, Metazoa, Chordata, Aves, Apodiformes, Trochilidae. The record is from RefSeq and is a predicted model, not a curated record.
GAAUCCACACUCUCCCUGAAUCCACAACACCUUUGGCAAGUUCUGCCACCGGGCUCCCAAGAACAUGGACUUCAGCUUCACCUCCCUAAAACUAAAGAUAAAUGAAAGGCGAAGGGGCAAGCAGGAAGCCAGAAGAUGUAUUGGCAGGCACUCUUAGCGGUGACUUGAGAAUUUCUCCAUGAAGAAAAAGCUAAGCUGGUGUGAAACUGUCGAGCAGGACAUGAGAACUUGGGGCUCAAAGAGAAUGAAAGGAUGCUUGACACCUGGCUAAAAAGAAAGAGGACUCUGAGGUCAAGUUCAGAGGUGCAGGCUGGAAAGUACAUCUGUGAGAAGCAUGUCAAAUGACUGUGGGGGCAGAACUUGCACAGAGGAGCUCAGGCCUAGAGCAGCAGCAGAACCUUGCAACUAGACAAGAACUACACACCAAAGGUUACAGAAAGCACUGGGAACCCAACUGUGUGAAAGCUGGCUUUAUUCUGACCACAAUGCCACAAAAUCCAUGCUCCACAUGCCACAGCCCUAACUGUUCCUAGCGGUGCUUUCCGGUGCGAUUGAAGCGCCUGUACAGGUACCGGAUCCUCUUUUUGAGAUUGUGGAGGUCAUCUUCAAACAUCCGAUCUCCUACCACCUGCUUCUUCCGGAUGCACCUCUGCAGUUCGUUCCCCCGCCAGCCUCGCAGCCACUUGGGGCCCACGAUGAGGUUCUUUGGGUGGAUCUGGAAGCCACCUGAGAAUAGGAGAGCAGAACAGAGAGAAUGAGGCUGUUCCCAGCGUGCCCGGCCCAGUUGCCCCUACCCUGUCCCUCUAGCAGCUUGGAGGAGCCACUCGCCGGAAGGUGGGUCCAGCAUCCCUCUUCUCCAACUCUGGGACCACAGCGGGGAGAGUGAGGAGGCCUUACCUAGGAUCCCCACGUUGUCGUAGAUCCCGAACAAGGCCCGUUUUUCCGUCCACCGAUCCACCUGCUUGCGCUUCGGCGGCUCCUUGAUGCGGAUGGGCCGAGUGAGUCCUGCCAGAGGCGAGGAAAGGGGCACAGGGAGGCCGGGCCGCACAGGCCCCCAGCUCGCCCCACCGCCGCUAAUGCUCCGCUCAGUCCCGAGCAGGGGCGCGGCUCGGUUCAGCAGGGCUCGCCCCGCUGCUCGCACCAGCGCCAUCGCCGCCCUAGGGGUGACCCCGCCGGCGGUGCCCCACCGCCAGGGGACGAAGAGAGGGGGGGAAGGAGAAGGAGGAGCGGGGCCGCCGGGCCGCCCACCUCCGACCCGGCCACUUCCGGCCCCAGUGGGCGUCGGGAAACGGAAAGGCGAGAGGGUGACGUCGUGCCUAACGGUCAGGGGCGGGGAAGGGGAGCGGGCGAGGAUUGGGCCAGAUGCUCGCGCUGCGUCUCGCUGCUGGGCGCUGAUUGGCUGAGAGAGGGGGCGGGGCCGGCGAGGCCCGCGCGCGCUGGUUUGAGUGCCCGGGCUUAGGAGGGUGAGAAGGAGGUGGCGGCGGUCGCGGCCGCUUGCGGGGCUGAGUCGGGGGCCAUGGACGCGACUUGGGAGUUCCAGCUGCCCCUCGCCUCCAGCGAUCUGCUGGAGGACCGCGGCCCCGGGCAGUACGUGGUGCAGAAGGUGCUGCGUGUAGGCGAGCUCCUGCCCGCCCUCAAAGACUUCAGAGCCGCUGUCCGGACGCGGGGUGCAUUGGCAGUGCUGGAGCACUUCGACCCACUCUAUAGCUUGCUGCACCGCUUCCGAACUGUGGAGACUGCUGUAAAGGAGGAUGCCCUGGAGCUGAUGAUGCACGUGGUGUCCCAUCAUUCCAAUGAACUUGCUACCAUCUUGGGUGAUUCUGGGCUGAGCCGUACGGACCAUGCUGCGCACCUCAAUGCCCUCAAAAUGAACUGCUAUUUGCUGACUGGCCUGGCGGACGCCUUUGAAAUAGAAAACUGCAAGAGUGGUUUGUUGGAGGUGGAUGCUAGUGGGAAGAACAAGAAGAACCGUGCCAGGAUUGCUGGGUCCUUGUGGGAAGAGGAGAGGGAGCCACUCUUGCGGCUACUCACACAGUUGCUGCAGCUGGAUCUCCGUCAGCUUUGGGGUGGUUUGGUGGUGGAAGAAGAGUUUGUCAGCUUAAUGACAGGAGCCUGUUAUCGUAUCCUGGAAAAUCCAAGUAUUGGUCAUCAGAAGUACCGGGCCACACGGGAGGCUUUGACACAUCUGCUUGCUGCAGCUCUGACUCACUAUGAUCACAUGUUCAGUGCCACUCUGAAGAUCACUCAGAUGCUGCAGCACUUUGAACACGUAGCCCCAGUGUUUGCGCAGGCUGUGAGCCUCUGGGCUACGGAGUAUGGUCUGAAGAGCCUGGUGGGUGAAUUGCUAAGGGAAAUUGGACAGAAAUGUCCACAGGAUGCGGCGCGCGAUGCUUCUGGAAUCAAGGGUUAUGCUACUUUUAUAACUGAGCUGGCUGAACAGAUUCCAGCUCUGGUGUUAUCCAACAUAAGCGUUCUCCUGCGUCACUUGGAUGGAGAGAGUUAUGUGAUGCGAAAUGCGAUUCUAGGAGCUAUGGCAGAAAUCCUGGUGCAGGUCCUGAAUGGUAACCAGCUGGAGGAGGCUGCCUGUGGUACUCGGGACCAGUUCCUGGGUAUACUGCAGGCCCACGUCUGUGACAUCCAUGGCUUUGUCCGCAGUCGUGUGCUGCAGCUUUUCACUCGAAUCGUUCAGUGCAAGGCCCUGCCUUUGACUCAGUUUCAGUCUGUGGUGUCGCUGGCUGUCGAGCGUCUCAAAGACAAAUCCGUGGUGGUAGUUAAAAAUGCAAUCCAGUUGCUGGCUGCAUUUUUGUCCAACAAUCCCUUCUCCUGCAAGUUAAGCUGUGCUGACUUGGCUGAGCUAUUGAAGAAAGAGGUGCAGAAGCUGAAAGAAAUGAAGGACCGUGACAGAUCCACAGCAGCUCCAGUGAUCACCCCAGAGGAAGAGUGGGAAGCAAUGCUACCAGAAGUUAGGGCUGCCAUACAGAAGCUCUUUCAACCACUGCAGGAAGGGGAAGAGGAGGUGCUGGAAGUUGAAGAAACAGUGGAGAGUACAUUGAAGCAAAUCACUGAGCUACUGGGGAAGCUGAAUUACAAGAGUGCAGCCUGCCUUACACAGAAGGCCCUGUGUUGCUUCCAGGGGAAGGAGCCCUUCAAUGGUCCUAUGGAGGAAAACGAGGAGGCAACAAUCCUGGGUGUUCUGAAGAGACUUUACAUAGGUUCAUAUCCACGUGAGAACAGUGAGGAUUCUUCAAGUGACGAGAGUCUUAAGACUGCAGAAGUUGUAUCAGAAGAGCAGCCUCAAACAGAACUGGCCAAACAGGAGAUGCUGGUGCAAUACCUUCAAGAUGCUUAUGACUUCUCAGUGAAAAUCACAGAAGUCCUGAGCCUGAUCAGCAAGAUGAUGUACGAAAACUGUGUUUCAGUGGUGCAGGAAGCCAUUGAGUUCUUUGUGACAGUGUCACAGUUCGGGGUGCCCCAGGCACUGCCUGGAGUCCGCAGGAUGCUCCCCCUCAUAUGGUCAAAAGAGUCUGGUAUUAAGGAGGCUGUGCUCAAUGCUUACAGACGGCUCUAUCUGAGUCCCAGCGGGGAUUCAGAGAGGGACAGGGCCCAGGGCCUGGUGCAUUCUCUCUCUCUCAUCAUGGUGGACGCAUCACUAGGAAUGAUACAGUGCUUAGAAGAAAUAAUCUCAGAGUUUGUGCAGAAAGAUGAAAUAAAGCCUGCUGUGAUCCAACUGCUUUGGGAGAGAUUCACAGAAAAAUCACAGUGCUCAUCGCUGGAACGACGUGCUGCUGUGAUGCUGCUGGGGAUGAUGGCACGAGGGAAGCCAGAGAUCAUAGGUAGCAACCUGGACAUCUUGGUGACAGUAGGGUUGUCUGAGAAAGUAUGUGAAGACUAUUGCCUGGCUAAAGAAGUAUGCAAUGCCAUCUCCAAACUUGCUACUAGCCCUAAGCCAGCAGCGGGGAGGAGCACUGCACCUUUUCGACUGCCACAGGACCACGUGCUCUUUGAGUGCCUUAGUGAGACUCUGAGUAAAGGCUUUGUCCAGCCAAGUGGUCACUGGAUCCCCUUCAUGGAGGCAGCAGUAAUGCUCGUCUACCAGCUAGCAGAAGGGGCAGAGGAGAUUUGUGCUCACAUCCUGCAGGUGUGCAGUCAGCGAGCUCUAGAGAAACUUCAGGAGGCUGAUGGGCAGGAAGCCGGGAUUUCUCCCAGCAGAGUUUCUGAUGGUGCUAGCAGUCUCCCCACAUUCCUGCUGAUGCAUCUGGUGUCACUUGUGGGACAGGUGGCACUGCAGCAGGUAGUAUAUUUGGAAGUGUCAGUGAGUGCAGAGCUACGCAGACAUCGCACCCUCAGAGAGGAGGAGAAGGCGACCAAGAAGCUCUCUGACAGCAGCAUAAAGAAGAAGAGACCCCGGAGCACAGGAAAUGAGACUACAGUGGAGGAGGAGCUGGGCCUCGUGGGAGCCUCAGCUGAUGACACUGAGGCUGAGCUCGUCCGCAGUAUUUGUGAGACAGAACUUCUAGAUGAGAACCACCUGCUCUCUGCCUUUGUUCCACUGGUGCUGACGAUCUGCAACAACCCUGGCCUCUACAGUGAUCCGGCACUCUCAGCUGCUGCAGCCCUGGCUCUUGGCAAAUUCUGCAUGAUCAGCUCUGAGUUCUGUGACUCCCACUUGCGCCUGCUAUUCACUAUGAUGGAGAAGUCCACUUGGCCUGGUGUGAGAUCCAACCUCAUCAUUGCAGCAGGAGAUCUGGCCAUCCGUUUCCCCAACCUGGUGGAGCCUUGGACAUCACAUCUCUAUGCUAGGUUGCAGGACCCCUGCCCAAGCGUGAGGCAUACAGCUGCACUGGUGAUGACUCAACUUAUCCUCAAAGACAUGGUAAAGGUGAAGGGCCAAGUGAGUGAAAUGGCAAUGCUGCUUAUAGACCCAGAAUCAACAAUCAUGAAAGUGGCUCAAAACUUCUUCAAUGAACUCUCCAACAAGGGUAAUGCCGUCUAUAACCUGCUUCCAGACAUAAUCAGUCGUCUCUCAGAUCCCAACUGCGGUGUAGAGGAGGAAUCCUUCCGUACUAUUAUGAGACAUCUCUUCUCAUAUAUUACUAAAGACAGACAGACAGAAAGCUUGGUGGAGAAACUUUGUCAGCGAUUCCGGACUGCCAGAACUGAGCGUCAACAUCGGGAUCUGUCCUACUGCCUUACUCUGCUUCCUCUCACGGACCGGGGUCUUCAGAAGCUGCAGGACAACUUUGACUGCUAUGCAGACAAGGUCCAAGACCCAGCUGUCUACAGUUGUUUCCAAACUGUGCUGGCUCGAUUCCGCAGAACAGGCGGCAAACCUGAGACUAAAGCUCUGGCUGAAGAGCUGGAGCAGAAGCUGUUUGCCUCCCAUAACCGAGGGCUGGAUUCAGUAGAGACGUGCCAGGAAGGUAGCAGAACUCCAAUGACAGAGGUGGCCAAGCAGAAACCAACAGGAAGUAUGGUCUGGGGGGGGGUUUUGUGAGACUUCAGCGUUUUCCCUGAUCCUGCAGUUCAGCAGAGAUACCUAGGGACUUUUCUUCACUCUUAAAGACAGAAUGGCUGCUACCUUUCUCUUUUUUCUCAGCAGGUUCACGCCACCAGCCCCUGAGGAUGAAGAAAAGAGCUGAAGAUUUUGACACACCCCAGCCUCGCACCCUCCGAAAUCAUAAGUAUGCCCAAAAGCGCCCUCCAGCCAAGAAAGCCCUUGUGACUUUCUCCAGUGAUGAGACCAGCUCUGAGGAUGACCCAUCAGCAGAACCGGAUGAAACCCCCACCAAAACAACUCCUAUCACCAGGUCUUCAGCCCGCCGACUGCGCUGAGGGAACCGUCUGCCACUAUCCUGAACUAAAAAUAAAACUCAUUUUG